GAUGAACGCUGGCGGCGUGCCUAAUACAUGCAAGUCGAGCGAACAGACGAGGAGCUUGCUCCUCUGACGUUAGCGGCGGACGGGUGAGUAACACGUGGAUAACCUACCUAUAAGACUGGGAUAACUUCGGGAAACCGGAGCUAAUACCGGAUAAUAUAUUGAACCGCAUGGUUCAAUAGUGAAAGACGGUUUUGCUGUCACUUAUAGAUGGAUCCGCGCCGCAUUAGCUAGUUGGUAAGGUAACGGCUUACCAAGGCAACGAUGCGUAGCCGACCUGAGAGGGUGAUCAGCCACACUGGAACUGAGACACGGUCCAGACUCCUACGGGAGGCAGCAGUAGGGAAUCUUCGGCAAUGGGCGAAAGCCUGACGGAGCAACGCCGCGUGAGUGAUGAAGGUCUUCGGAUCGUAAAACUCUGUUAUUAGGGAAGAACAGAUGUGUAAGUAACUAUGCACGUCUUGACGGUACCUAAUCAGAAAGCCACGGCUAACUACGUG
RNAcentral lists this ribosomal RNA (497 nucleotides) under uncultured bacterium. Its description in RNAcentral is "partial 16S ribosomal RNA". It matches the Rfam family "Bacterial small subunit ribosomal RNA", at positions 28 to 507 of the family's 1533-position model. The record is from RNAcentral.